This 640-nucleotide ribosomal RNA is filed under the name Kondoa subrosea. Its description in RNAcentral is "eukaryotic LSU rRNA". It matches the Rfam family "Eukaryotic large subunit ribosomal RNA", at positions 47 to 663 of the family's 3401-position model. Lineage: Eukaryota; Fungi; Basidiomycota; Agaricostilbomycetes; Agaricostilbales; Kondoaceae. The record is from RNAcentral.
UAAGCGGAGGAAAAGAAACUAACAAGGAUUCCCCUAGUAACGGCGAGUGAAGUGGGAAAAGCUCAACUUUGUAAUCUGGCUGUCUUUUGGCAGUCCGAGUUGUAGUCUAGAGAAGUGAUGUCCGCGCAGACCCUUAUAGAUUUCGGUUGGAAUGCCAAGUCAAAGAGGGUGAGAAUCCCGUAUUUGAUAAGGUGGUCUUGUGCAUUGUGAUACGCUUUCAAAGAGUCGAGUUGUUUGGGAAUGCAGCUCAAAGUGGGUGGUAAAUUCCAUCUAAAGCUAAAUAUUGGCGAGAGACCGAUAGCGAACAAGUACCGUGAGGGAAAGAUGAAAAGCACUUUGGAAAGAGAAUGAAAUAGUACAUGAAAUUGCUGAAAGGGAAACGAUUGAAGUUAGACAUGCGCUUUGGGUAUUCAGCCUUGGCUUCGGUCUUGGUGCAUUUGCCCAAUUUUGCAGGCCAACAUCAGUUAUCUUUGCUGUAAAAGGGUUUAGGGAAUGUGGCUCUUUCGGGAGUGUUAUAGCCCUUUGCUGGAUGCAGAAUCGAUGACUGAGGAACGCAGUGCGCCUUUAUUGGCAAGGCUUUCGGGCUUCGAGCACUUAGGAUGUUGGUAGAAUAGCUUUAAACGACCCGUCUUGAAACACG